Molecule: long non-coding RNA, 1136 nt
Filed under: Marmota monax (woodchuck)
Lineage: Eukaryota; Metazoa; Chordata; Mammalia; Rodentia; Sciuridae
Source: RNAcentral
GAGUGAGAAAUAGGAUGGUGGGAGAAGGGAAGGAAGAAGAGAAGCUGUGGUACCAGGAGAAAGACUUGAGGGACAAGGAAGAAGAGUCAGAACAAAACAUCCAACUUUGUGAAACUGAGUGGAAAAAAGGAAACAUUCUGGCUAAGGAAGAUCCAUUAUAGCCUUUGCCAAUGCUUACACUUCAUUUCACUAAGAAGGAAAAUCCCAUCAAGUACCCCCAGGAUCUGGUUGGUUAAAGUAAUGGGUAGAUUCAUUCAUGCAUAUUAGCCUAAUGAAUUUUCAUCAACCCUAAGGGAAGUAGUGUUAUCCUUUGAAUUUUAGUAAAGAAAUGAAAAGUCAUAGAAAGUCACAGAACUUAGUAGUGGAACUGAAAUUCAAACCCAAGCCUUUUACUCCAAGCCACACCUUUUUGUCACACUACAUAACUGGCUAACAUUUGGCCAUUUAGCAUAUUUGGCAGUGUGUUAGGAACUUGGCAAUAACUGUGAAUAAUUUUAGCUUAUUGGCCCUCGCUAAUAUCCUUUGGUUGUUAAAUUCUAUUGUUGAGCUAUGGUGACAAGUAUCUACAAAUCAUUGACUAAAGGUUCUCUUUGAAACCAGCCUGAAUCUGCUUUGUUUUACCUUAUUAUGAGUAAAUUCCUUUUUGAUAUCCAAAAGAUCAAAGAGAACAUGAGGUUUAAGGUCCUGCAGGUCUUGUAACAUCAACAUUCUAUGCCAUUUUAAACUUCAUAAUCCAAAUCCAGUGUCCUUAUUUUAAGAAAGCUGUAUCUUCUAGAAGGCUAACAUUCAAAUGCAGAGGGAAAAUACAGACACACUCUGGGAUUGCACUCUUGCAUUCACAUUUUGCAUAGCUUCAAGUUCAUAGAAAUUCAGAACAGCAUAAAAAUUUCUCAAGGUAUUUAAUCUUACAGGAAACACUUAUUUGUGGAUAUUCCAUCUCUUAUGAAAUAGAUUACCAAAAAGGCAAUAAUCUUUAUGUCUUGCAUUUUUGGCUUCUCUCAUUCCAGCAUUUUGUAAAUGAUCCUAAAAAAUGGCACAUUAGAUCCUUGAAGUAUAAAUGGAUAUUUUGUGAAUAUCGAUGUACACUAUUGUAUAGUACCCAAGUGUAAGUGAUUCAUAAAGCCUAUUGGCAUUUA